CAACCCGAGCGAAGUUUCCUUCCGGAGGCCACCGCCACGAGAAACAAAAUGGCGAUCGAUCCUUCUCUCGCCGAAACCGACAUUUUCGACGAAUUUUUGAAAUAUGGACUGUUUUUGGGCGCCAUUUUCCAGCUGGUGUGCAUAGGGGCUGUUAUAUUUGUGCCGAGUAGGGAUGACAAGAGGGACGGAGACUCUAGUGACGACGACGGCUCUGAUCACGGCUCCCCGCACACGUCCCCCCCCCACCGCGGCCAAAACCAGCACCAUCGACGCAAGCAUGACAAGAAGAAGAGACGGUGAAUUCAGCAAGACAGGCUUCGGGAGGGAUAACUCAUGUUGACGGAAUAGUGUGUUCUUUUGGACUCUUAUGGAAUUUGGAAUGAGUAGCAGGCCUACUUAAUAUGAUGCUGCAAAGAGCCCCUACAUGACGAAGCUUUUGUAAGAUUUUACACCUGAGAACCUCCCAUUCAAGGGUAUGGCAGUGCUAUGGCAGUGCUUUUGCAGUGCUUUUGCGGGAAAUAGGUUUUGGUAUGUGAGAGACUGCUCAUUGUAACAUCAGUCAUGGUCUACUUUUAGGAUCCCAUUUGUUCACCUCUUCACACAGGACAAGUACAGACCCACUGUGGCAUUGCAUCUGUAUUGCCUUUGUAGGAUUAAUCUUAUUUUACUGUGAUUUCAGAUCUGAAUAAACAUGUCUUUAUGUUAAAUGUUAGCUUUUUUUUUUAAUCAUAUAUAUUUUUUAUAGUUUGGUUGCUAGUAUGUGUGUAUAUGUUAUAACUUAACAUGUGGUGAGAUUGAAAAUGAAACCUAGAAUUUCUUAUUGGCUUUGUAACUUUUUGUUGAUCUGAAUUACAUGUCCGAUCUUGAAGUUUAUCCAAAUAUAAGAGAAUUCAAUCUUGUUGGCAGGUUCAGUGCAGUUUCUGUCUUUGCUGGAAAAUGUAGUGGUUAGAAUUUUUUUUUUUUUGUAACAUUCCAAACAGCUGUGCAAUACUACUUGAAUGUCUUUUUGCAUUUUUUAAAUAAAAUGAACCAAUCGCA
RNAcentral lists this unclassified non-coding RNA (1038 nucleotides) under Penaeus monodon (black tiger shrimp). RNAcentral's name for it is "protein anon-73B1-like, transcript variant X1". Lineage: Eukaryota; Metazoa; Arthropoda; Malacostraca; Decapoda; Penaeidae. The record is from RNAcentral.